UACGGAGGAUGCAAGCGUUAUCCGGAUUUAUUGGGUUUAAAGGGUGCGCAGGUUGUUUGACAAGUCAGUGGUGAAAGUCUGCCGCUUAACGGAAGGAUUGCCAUUGAUACUGUUGGACUUGAGUAUGGAUAAGGUAUGCGGAAUGUGUAGUGUAGCGGUGAAAUGCAUAGAUAUUACACAGAACACCGAUUGCGAAGGCAGCAUACUGGGCCAUUACUGACGCUGAGGCACGAAAGCGUGGGGAUCAAACAGG
RNAcentral lists this ribosomal RNA (253 nucleotides) under uncultured bacterium. RNAcentral describes it as "partial 16S ribosomal RNA". It matches the Rfam family "Bacterial small subunit ribosomal RNA", at positions 524 to 776 of the family's 1533-position model. The record is from RNAcentral.